UACUGCUUCGGCAGCACGCAUACUAAAAUUGGAACGAUACAGAGAAGAUUAGCAUAGCCCCUGCGCUGGCAUUGACAAUUACAUUUGCAGGGUCCCAUAUAUCUUG
Molecule: small nuclear RNA, 106 nt
Organism: Ahaetulla prasina
Lineage: Eukaryota; Metazoa; Chordata; Lepidosauria; Squamata; Colubridae
Source: RefSeq, a predicted model, not a curated record